GCUACAGCAAAGUGGGAAGGUAGGAUAACCACAUACUUAUUUAACAAGAUGCUUUAAUUUUGUCUCAGGCUAAAAGGUGACUGUUUGAUUUAGGAAUAUAUACUAAUUUUCCUAAAAUCUUUCUUUGACAAACCAUUUACCUGGACUUCACUGUUGUGUUGAUUGCUAUUUCAGAGUGUUGGGAUAUACUGUCAGCUUGGCACAGGCUUUCCUCUUUAGUGAUGAUGGCAAAUGGGCUUAUUUCCACACUGGGAAAGCCCAUUUCUUUAAAUAGCCCUUCUCAAGAAGUUAUCAAUGGUUGUUAGAUAAAAUGUGACCAGGAAAUCAGGUGAUAUUAAGAAGUAUUUUAUGAGCAAUAGCAGAUCCUUUGAUACACACCUUCUUUCUGAUACGAAGAAACUGUACCUGUAGUUUAUUUUUUAUUUUAUUUUUAUUUUUUGAGAUGGGAGUCUUGCUCUGUCACCCAGGCUGGAGUGCAGUGGUUCAAUCUCAGCUCACUGCAACCUCCACCUCCUGGGUUAAAGCAAUUCUCCUGCCUCAGCCUCCUGAGUAGCUGGGAUUACAGGCAUGCGCCACUACUUCUGGCUAAUUUUUGUAUUUUUAGUGGAGACGGGGUUUUACCAUGUUGGUCAGGCUGGUUUUGAACUCCUGACCUCAGGUGAUCCGCCCACUUCGGCCUCCUAAAGUACUGGGAUUACAAGCAUGAGCCACCAUGCCUGGCCUCUACCUGUGUUUUAACGUGGACUAUGUUUAUGCCUUGGAUUAGAACACUGGAGUAGCUGGAUGUGAUUCUUCUUUUUUUUCCUUUAAUGUCAGGUCAGAAUAACUCAGUGGUUUGAGGCCCUCUUAUUUUCCUGAUGGCUAGCGUGUUUGAAUGUUUGGUCUGUUGAUGUUUUAACACUUGUUUGUGUGAGAUUGUGUGAGAAAUUCAGGACCUGUACACUGCAGUACAUUUGAGGAUUCCUGGCCCUCACCUCCUAAAUCCCACUAGCUACCCUUCCCCCAUUAUUUUGAGAAUUAAAACACCUACUUGUUUCCAGAUGCCACCUGCCUCUGUGAGUGUGGGCAUGAGUAUGUGUGUGUUGCGGAGGUGGGUGAGGGAGUUGGAGGAGUUUUGUUACACAUCUGAGUUAUUUCAUCAUGGUAAGAUGUUAUUGUUCUUUCAUUUCAUUAAAAAAAUCUGUCUAAUUCUUUAAAAAUAGAGUUAAAGAAAGAAGAUAUUUAUGCAGUGGAGAUAGUUGGUGGUGCUACACGAAUCCCUGCGGUAAAAGAGAAGAUCAGCAAAUUUUUCGGUAAAGAACUUAGUACAACAUUAAAUGCUGAUGAAGCUGUCACUCGAGGCUGUGCAUUGCAGUGUGCCAUCUUAUCGCCUGCUUUCAAAGUCAGAGAAUUUUCUAUCACUGAUGUAGUACCAUAUCCAAUAUCUCUGAGAUGGAAUUCUCCAGCUGAAGAAGGGUCAAGGUAUCAUGUUUAUUAAUCAUUUACAUAUCUAAAGUUAAUUGACUAUUAGGUCUGAGUAAUAUGUUGCUUUUCAUUUCAGUUUACAUAAAUCUGUAACAUUUUAUCAUAGUGCAUGAAGGAAGUGGUCAUUUAUUUUAGUCAGAAUAAAUUUGUGUCCUUAAUUAGUUUCUCACACUUGAUUCUGCUGAAAUCAUCAGUGCCUUUUAUGUGCAGAUUGACGUAUAUUCCUUUUUUACUGACUUUAUAUAUAAAGAUUCUUGGGAACUCUUAUAAUCUGGAAAUAAUACCAAUUGAAAAGAGAGAGAAACUAACACUGUACAAUAAUUACAAACCUAGAACACAUGGGUAAAAGUGUUAGGAAUAUCCUGAAUUUGUGUUUUUGUCUUUUUCCUCCAUUCAGUGACUGUGAAGUCUUUUCCAAAAAUCAUGCUGCUCCUUUCUCUAAAGUUCUUACAUUUUAUAGAAAGGAACCUUUCACUCUUGAGGCCUACUACAGCUCUCCUCAGGAUUUGCCCUAUCCAGAUCCUGCUAUAGGUAAGUAAAGAGUUGGAAAU
This 2015-nucleotide long non-coding RNA is filed under the name Homo sapiens (human). Its description in RNAcentral is "HSALNT0094518". The record is from RNAcentral. Lineage: Eukaryota; Metazoa; Chordata; Mammalia; Primates; Hominidae.